This 484-nucleotide ribosomal RNA is filed under the name uncultured bacterium. RNAcentral describes it as "partial 16S ribosomal RNA". It matches the Rfam family "Bacterial small subunit ribosomal RNA", at positions 29 to 507 of the family's 1533-position model. The record is from RNAcentral.
AUUGAACGCUGGCGGCAUGCUUUACACAUGCAAGUCGAACGGCAGCGCGGGCUUCGGCCUGGCGGCGAGUGGCGAACGGGUGAGUAAUGCAUCGGAACGUGCCCAGUAGUGGGGGAUAGCCCGGCGAAAGCCGGAUUAAUACCGCAUACGACCUGAGGGUGAAAGCGGGGGACCGAAAGGCCUCGCGCUAUUGGAGCGGCCGAUGUCGGAUUAGCUAGUUGGUGGGGUAAAGGCUUACCAAGGCGACGAUCCGUAGCUGGUCUGAGAGGACGACCAGCCAAACUGGGACUGAGACACGGCCCAGACUCCUACGGGAGGCAGCAGUGGGGAAUUUUGGACAAUGGGGGCAACCCUGAUCCAGCCAUGCCGCGGGCGGGAAGAAGGCCUUCGGGUUGUAAACCGCUUUUGUUCGGGAAGAAAUCCUCUGGGCUAAUACCCCGGGGGGAUGACGGUACCGGAAGAAUAAGCACCGGCUAACUACGUG